Molecule: ribosomal RNA, 253 nt
Filed under: uncultured bacterium
Lineage: Bacteria
Description: partial 16S ribosomal RNA
Rfam family: Bacterial small subunit ribosomal RNA
Source: RNAcentral
UACGUAUGGGGCAAGCGUCAUCCGGAUUUACUGGGUGUAAAGGGAGCGUAGGCGGCCUGGCAAGCCUGAUGUGAAAUACCGGGGCCCAACCCCGGGGCUGCAUUGGGAACUGCCAGGCUGGAGUGCCGGAGAGGCAGGCGGAAUUCCUAGUGUAGCGGUGAAAUGCGUAGAUAUUAGGAGGAACACCAGUGGCGAAGGCGGCCUGCUGGACGGUGACUGACGCUGAGGCUCGAAAGCGUGGGGAGCAAACAGG